GCAGUCUGCAACUCGACUGCAUGAAGUCGGAAUCGCUAGUAAUCGCGGAUCAGCAUGCCGCGGUGAAUACGUUCCCGGGUCUUGUACACACCGCCCGUCAAACAAUGGGAGUGGUGUUUACCAGAAGUCGUUAGCCUAACCGCAAGGAGGGCGGCGACCACGGUGAGCACCGUGACUAAUGUUAAGUCGUAACAAGGUAAC
RNAcentral lists this ribosomal RNA (201 nucleotides) under uncultured bacterium. RNAcentral describes it as "partial 16S ribosomal RNA". It matches the Rfam family "Bacterial small subunit ribosomal RNA", at positions 1300 to 1500 of the family's 1533-position model. The record is from RNAcentral.